UGGGGAAUCUUGGACAAUGGGGGCAACCCUGAUCCAGCCAUGCCGCGUGAGUGAUGAAGGCCUUAGGGUCGUAAAGCUCUUUCGCCUGUGAAGAUAAUGACGGUAGCAGGUAAAGAAACCCCGGCUAACUCCGUGCCAGCAGCCGCGGUAAUACGGAGGGGGUUAGCGUUGUUCGGAAUUACUGGGCGUAAAGCGCACGUAGGCGGACCAGAAAGUUGGGGGUGAAAUCCCGGGGGCUCAACCCCGGAACUGCCUCCAAAACUAUUGGUCUAGAGUUCGAGAGAGGUGAGUGGAAUUCCAAGUGUAGAGGUGAAAUUCGUAGAUAUUUGGAGGAACACCAGUGGCGAAGGCGGCUCACUGGCUCGAUACUGACGCUGAGGUGCGAAAGUGUGGGGAGCAAACAGGAUUAGAUACCCUGGUAGUCCACACCGUAAAACGAUGAAUGCCAGUCGUCGGGUAGCAUGCUAUUCGGUGACACACCUAACGGAUUAAGCAUUCCGCCUGGGGAGUACGGUCGCAAGAUUAAAACUCAAAGGAAUU
This 540-nucleotide ribosomal RNA is filed under the name uncultured bacterium. Its description in RNAcentral is "bacterial SSU rRNA". It matches the Rfam family "Bacterial small subunit ribosomal RNA", at positions 355 to 911 of the family's 1533-position model. The record is from RNAcentral.